GUUGGUGUAGCUCAGUGGUAGAGUGCAUGCUUUGUAUUGCAUGAUGUCCUGGGUUCAAUCCCUAGCUUCUCCC
Molecule: transfer RNA, 73 nt
Filed under: Dallia pectoralis (Alaska blackfish)
Lineage: Eukaryota; Metazoa; Chordata; Actinopteri; Esociformes; Umbridae
Description: tRNA-OTHER
Rfam family: tRNA
About the family: Transfer RNA (tRNA) molecules are approximately 80 nucleotides in length. Their secondary structure includes four short double-helical elements and three loops (D, anti-codon, and T loops).
Source: RNAcentral